This is a long non-coding RNA of Solanum tuberosum (potato), 514 nucleotides long. RefSeq lists it as uncharacterized. The record is from RefSeq and is a predicted model, not a curated record. NCBI's taxonomy places the organism in Eukaryota, Viridiplantae, Streptophyta, Magnoliopsida, Solanales, Solanaceae. The transcript is spliced from 2 exons.
UUCAAAGAAAAUAGAAAGAUCAAAUAAUUACAUCCAAAGUAUGGCAAAGUCACUAGUGAACUACACAACCUUCCUUGCUCUCCUCUUAUGCUUCCUCCUCAUAUCAUCCAAUGAGAUGGAAGGUGUUGAGGGGAAAACUUGCCGAUGGCAAAGCCAUUUAUAUCGUUCGAGGUUUUGCUUGUCUAGCAAGUAUUGUGUAAAACGUUGCAGAGAUGAGAUUUCAAAGGUAACCAAAGGUCAGUGCAUUACAAAAGGCUUGGGUCGUUAUUGCUUCUGCUGGCGCACAGGGGCCUGCCCUCCUAAGCCUUAAUUCAAUCAAUAACAAAAUUAAUGUAUGCAUGGUGUGUGUGUGUGUGUUAUCAAGAAUAAAAACACUAUCAAUUCAUCAUUAGAAUUGUAGUGAUUGUGAGGAAAUUGUACUUUAUUAUGAUGUUUGUAUUGUAAUUUACAAUGUAUUUUCUUCUUGGUUAUGUACCCUAGUUUUUUUAAUGUCAAGUGAAACAAUUUAAAUAAA